This 433-nucleotide ribosomal RNA is filed under the name uncultured bacterium. RNAcentral describes it as "partial 16S ribosomal RNA". It matches the Rfam family "Bacterial small subunit ribosomal RNA", at positions 29 to 507 of the family's 1533-position model. The record is from RNAcentral.
AACGAACGCUGGCGGCAUGCCUAACACAUGCAAGUCGAACGAGACCUUCGGGUCUAGUGGCGCACGGGUGCGUAACGCGUGGGAACCUGCCCUUAGGUUCGGAAUAACUCCCCGAAAGGGGUGCUAAUACCGGAUAAUGUCUUCGGACCAAAGAUUUAUCGCCUUUGGAUGGGCCCGCGUUGGAUUAGCUAGUUGGUAGGGUAAAAGCCUACCAAGGCGACGAUCCAUAGCUGGUCGGAGAGGAUGAUCAGCCACACUGGGACUGAGACACGGCCCAGACUCCGGGGGAAGGGGAGGGGGGGGAAUUGAGAAAGAGGGGAAGAGGCCUGACCGCGCACGGCGGGGUAAGAAAUAGGGCCUUGAGGGUUAAAAAGUUUUUUUCCCCGGGGAGGUAUUGACGGGACCGGAAGAAUAAGCCCGGGCUAACCCCGUG